Long non-coding RNA from Astatotilapia calliptera (eastern happy), 1093 nucleotides. The record is from Ensembl. Lineage: Eukaryota; Metazoa; Chordata; Actinopteri; Cichliformes; Cichlidae.
CCCAGUAGGAGAUGACUAUAAACUAACUGCUAUGUAUAACAGCAGAAGUGGACAGAAUCCCAGCUGUAACAGCAGUGAUUUAUGAUUUAGCCUUAACUAGUAUGUAAAAUGGUAUCAAGUCACAAUAUUUACCUGGCUCUUUACUUCCUUUUAAAACUUCUUUAUGAUUUUCUUUUACAAAAAAAAUCCCUCAAUUAUUAAAUCUGAUCUUGUUCAGUGCACAUAUGAUAUAGAAUGAUUCACAUAUGUGUUUCAUUUUUACAUCUGGCCAUAAUAUUUUGACUUUAAAAUAUACAUAUCCUUUACUUUUCUCUCCUCUCUCUCCCUCCCACUCACAGGAGCCACCCAGGUCGGCCUGAGGUGAAGUAAAAAUCAACAGACAGAAUAAGAGAUUUUUCCAUUUAAAAAUUUAUGGAUGACUCCUGGUCAUAUAUUUCAGUGGGUGAGUAGAUGUGUUUUGGGGGUCAGUUAACAGAGUGACCCUGAAAAGUGCUGAGCUAUAAAUGUAACCCAGCAUUUACUGUUUCCUUUUUCAAAUUUGGUGUUUCUUUUUCUCUUCUUUUUUUUUCCUGCCUCACUUUUCUAAGUGUAUUUCUCCAUUUCUCUCCCCUGAUUUCCUCCAUUUUGUUUCUCUUUACCACUUUUUGACACUGACUGGAUAUGAUAUACACAAGUUUAUAUCUUUAAAAAACUCUUGAGGAAUUAAACACUUGAUGGCUUCUAAUUAAUAAUUUAAUUAACUGCAAAAUGACAUUGACACCCAGCAGUCUUGCUUUUAUAUGUGAAUAUAACCAACUUGCAACCAGUGAGUCCCUGUGACUGGGACCAAUUGCAAGUGAGUUUCACUCAUCAGUGGAGACUGCCCCAGAUUGCAAUAUGUUGUCAGUUUUUCAGCCUUUUUGCAAACCUUCACCAAUUUAUCUAAGACUAAUCCCAUGCAAGAGAAGUUACAUAAUUGGCUGUCUACAGACUGCUUCCUAUCAAGCAGCUGUUGCAGUAUCUUUCCAAUCAACUUGUUGCCCAGAGGCUGAGCUUGAUGGAUUUGUGCAGCGUCUGCAGUGAUUGGAUGCUGUACCAAUCUACUAUGGUGAGG